This 1002-nucleotide long non-coding RNA is filed under the name Lathyrus oleraceus (garden pea). RNAcentral's name for it is "Pisum sativum (pea) long non-coding RNA (PSAT_LNC021602)". The record is from RNAcentral. Lineage: Eukaryota; Viridiplantae; Streptophyta; Magnoliopsida; Fabales; Fabaceae.
UCAAAUACAAGUAUCCAUUUCAUUCAUAUAAUUUCAAAUUUCAUCAUUACAAAUCAUAAUAAAUGUCCAUACAUGAAAAAUAAAAGAACAUGGCAAAUUUGACCAAGUGUUGACUUUGGUCAACAGUUGACUUUUAGGUCAACUUUGACCAAAGUCAACCCAAAUUGUUUUUACCCUAAAGACACCACAUAAUCAACCCUAGUCCCAAUUUCAUAUUCCAUGUCCAUCUUGACCUUGAGUUGACCAUUUGAAUUUGGUUUUCCACCUUAUGGCUUCAUACUUGAACUUAAUUAUGCAUGCCUUGCUUUGCUUUGGUUAUGGCCUUGUUUCAUCUUGCAAUUGUGCCCAAUAUCACCAGUACAUGGUCUUGCAUCAUGUAUGCACAAGUGAAUAUUCAACCCCUACCAUCAUCAUGCAUAGCCUAUGAAACAUAAUCCAAAUGGGGCAUGUUUUUGGAACUAAGUUAGAGCAUGCACAUCAAGGCCAAGCAAUGAGUGAACCUAUUGAAAUACCUCAUCAUGAAGCAAUGCAAUCAACAAAAAUGCAAUGUACACAAACCUGUAUCACCAAGCCUACAAACCAGCAAAGUAUUCAUGAACAAGCACAUGGUACAUCAGUUGAAUUGCCGCGGGAAACUUACCAAAUAUGGACUUAGCAAGCACAUGAUACAUCAAUAGCAAUCUGCAGUAAUAGUCUUGUUUUUGAUCUACCAUGAAGCCAUUUACAACAGACGGUGACUUGCAUCCUUGGUUUAGCAAUCAACAUAUUGUAUCAUCAUAAUCAUGCCCAAUAAUGCAUCAGUCCUGAACCAACAAGAAGCAGACCAUGUCCAACACUAGUCUAGGUACACACAUGCUCAAACCACCAGCCAAUGGACCACCAACAUGAGCUAGCAUCAAGGUAUCACGAGGAAAUUAUUCACAGGCACACUGGUUCCAUUGGAAGCAACCAAGUGAUGAUAAACCUCAUAAGAAAAAUCUGCAACAAUAAGGCCAAACAGCA